This 294-nucleotide ribosomal RNA is filed under the name Listeria monocytogenes. RNAcentral describes it as "partial 16S ribosomal RNA". It matches the Rfam family "Bacterial small subunit ribosomal RNA", at positions 1249 to 1533 of the family's 1533-position model. The record is from RNAcentral. Lineage: Bacteria; Bacillati; Bacillota; Bacilli; Caryophanales; Listeriaceae.
GCUAGACCGCGAGGUCAUGCAAAUCUCUUAAAGCUUCUCUCAGUUCGGAUUGCAGGCUGCAACUCGCCUGCAUGAAGCCGGAAUCGCUAGUAAUCGCGGAUCAGCACGCCGCGGUGAAUACGUUCCCGGGCCUUGUACACACCGCCCGUCACACCACGAGAGUUUGUAACACCCGAAGUCGGUGAGGUAACCUUUUUGGAGCCAGCCGCCUAAGGUGGGAUAGAUGAUUGGGGUGAAGUCGUAACAAGGUAGCCGUAUCGGAAGGUGCGGCUGGAUCACCUCCUUUCUAAGGAA